GGUUCGUUAGCUUAGCCAGAUUUAAAGCACUCGGUUGUCAGCCGAGGGAUCACGGGUUUGAAUCCCGUACGAACCGCCA
RNAcentral lists this transfer RNA (79 nucleotides) under Exilibacterium tricleocarpae. Its description in RNAcentral is "Cellvibrionaceae bacterium R142 tRNA-Asp". It matches the Rfam family "tRNA". Rfam says of the family: Transfer RNA (tRNA) molecules are approximately 80 nucleotides in length. Their secondary structure includes four short double-helical elements and three loops (D, anti-codon, and T loops). The record is from RNAcentral. Lineage: Bacteria; Pseudomonadati; Pseudomonadota; Gammaproteobacteria; Cellvibrionales; Cellvibrionaceae.